Molecule: ribosomal RNA, 534 nt
Filed under: Meyerozyma guilliermondii
Lineage: Eukaryota; Fungi; Ascomycota; Pichiomycetes; Serinales; Debaryomycetaceae
Description: eukaryotic LSU rRNA
Rfam family: Eukaryotic large subunit ribosomal RNA
Source: RNAcentral
ACAGGGAUUGCCUUAGUAGCGGCGAGUGAAGCGGCAAAAGCUCAAAUUUGAAAUCUGGCGCCUUCGGUGUCCGAGUUGUAAUUUGAAGAUUGUAACCUUGGGGUUGGCUCUUGUCUAUGUUUCUUGGAACAGGACGUCACAGAGGGUGAGAAUCCCGUGCGAUGAGAUGCCCAAUUCUAUGUAAGGUGCUUUCGAAGAGUCGAGUUGUUUGGGAAUGCAGCUCUAAGUGGGUGGUAAAUUCCAUCUAAAGCUAAAUAUUGGCGAGAGACCGAUAGCGAACAAGUACAGUGAUGGAAAGAUGAAAAGAACUUUGAAAAGAGAGUGAAAAAGUACGUGAAAUUGUUGAAAGGGAAGGGUUUGAGAUCAGACUCGAUAUUUUGUGAGCCUUGCCUUCGUGGCGGGGUGACCCGCAGCUUAUCGGGCCAGCAUCGGUUUGGGCGGUAGGAUAAUGGCGUAGGAAUGUGACUUUACUUCGGUGAAGUGUUAUAGCCUGCGUUGAUGCUGCCUGCCUAGACCGAGGACUGCGCAUUUAUC